CGCAGCUCUCUGAGUCUCCCCACAUCAGAUCUGUGAAGUAUCUAUCGAAAGGCUUUGGUUUGAGCUUCUAAAACGGCAUGCUUGGGGCCCACUUAUGUUAACGAAUCAAUUUAAUUCCUUAUUCAAACCGACAAGAUCGGCAGUAUCAAUUUAAUUUCCGACAACAUGCGAUUCAACAUGUCAGCAAAAAGUAGAUAAAUAGAGAUGGGAAGCAAAACAACCGGUGUUGGUG
Long non-coding RNA from Quercus robur (English oak), 232 nucleotides. RefSeq lists it as uncharacterized. The record is from RefSeq and is a predicted model, not a curated record. The transcript is spliced from 3 exons. Lineage: Eukaryota; Viridiplantae; Streptophyta; Magnoliopsida; Fagales; Fagaceae.